GCCUGGAUGGCGGAAUCGGCAGACGCAACGGACUUAAAAUCCGUUGUCCGUAAGGACGUGAGGGUUCAAGUCCCUCUCCAGGUACCA
RNAcentral lists this transfer RNA (87 nucleotides) under Victivallales bacterium. RNAcentral's name for it is "tRNA-Leu". It matches the Rfam family "tRNA". Rfam says of the family: Transfer RNA (tRNA) molecules are approximately 80 nucleotides in length. Lineage: Bacteria; Pseudomonadati; Lentisphaerota; Lentisphaeria; Victivallales. The record is from RNAcentral.